UACGUAGGGCGCAAGCGUUGUCCGGAAUUAUUGGGCGUAAAGGGUGCGUAGGUGGCUUGGUAAGUCGGAUGUGAAAUCCCGGGGCUCAACCCCGGAACUGCAUUCGAUACUGCCAGGCUGGAGUACUGGAGAGGAGAUUGGAAUUUACGGUGUAGCAGUGAAAUGCGUAGAUAUCGUAAGGAAGACCAGUGGCGAAGGCGGAUCUCUGGACAGUUACUGACACUGAGGCACGAAGGCCAGGGGAGCAAACGGG
This 253-nucleotide ribosomal RNA is filed under the name uncultured bacterium. Its description in RNAcentral is "partial 16S ribosomal RNA". It matches the Rfam family "Bacterial small subunit ribosomal RNA", at positions 524 to 776 of the family's 1533-position model. The record is from RNAcentral.